This 253-nucleotide ribosomal RNA is filed under the name uncultured bacterium. RNAcentral's name for it is "partial 16S ribosomal RNA". It matches the Rfam family "Bacterial small subunit ribosomal RNA", at positions 524 to 776 of the family's 1533-position model. The record is from RNAcentral.
UACGUAGGUGGCAAGCGUUGUCCGGAUUUAUUGGGUUUAAAGGGUGCGUAGGCGGCCCUGUAAGUCAGUGCUGAAAUAUCCCGGCUUAACCGGGAGGGUGGCAUUGAUACUGCGGGGCUAGAGUACAGAUGAGGUAGGCGGAAUUGACGGUGUAGCGGUGGAAUGCUUAGAUAUCGUCAAGAACACCUAUAGCGAAGGCAGCUUACUAGGCUGUAACUGACGCUGAGGCACGAAAGUGUGGGGAUCAAACAGG